RNAcentral lists this ribosomal RNA (440 nucleotides) under uncultured bacterium. RNAcentral describes it as "partial 16S ribosomal RNA". It matches the Rfam family "Bacterial small subunit ribosomal RNA", at positions 338 to 795 of the family's 1533-position model. The record is from RNAcentral.
CCUACGGGAGGCAGCAGUGGGGGAUAUUGCCCACUGGGGGGAACCCUGAUGCAGCGACGCCGCGUGGGUGAAGAAGCGCCUCGGCGCGUGAAGCCCUGUCAGCAGGGAAGAAAAUGACGGUACCUGAAGAAGAAGCCCCGGCUAACUACGUGCAAGCAGCCGCGGUAAUACGUAGGGGGCAAGCGUUAUCCGGAUUUACUGGGUGUAAGGGGGGCGCAGACGGCGAUGCAAGCCAGGAGUGAAAGCCCGGGGCCCAACCCCGGGACUGCUCUUGGAACUGCGUGGCUGGAGUGCAGGAGGGGCAGGCGGAAUUCCUGGGGUAGCGGGGAAAUGCGUAGAUAGCAGGAGGAACACCGGUGGCGAAGGCGGCCUGCGGGACUGCAACUGACGUGGAGGCCCGAAAGCGUGGGGAGCAAACAGGAUUAGAUACCCUGGUAGUC